UAAUACGUAGGGGGCAAGCGUUGUCCGGAUUUAUUGGGCGUAAAGCGCGUGUAGGCGGCCAGGUAGGUCCGUUGUGAAAACUCGAGGCUCAACCUCGAGACGUCGACGGAAACCAUCUGGCUAGAGUCCGGAAGAGGAGAGUGGAAUUCCUGGUGUAGCGGUGAAAUGCGCAGAUAUCAGGAAGAACACCCGUGGCGAAGGCGGCUCUCUGGGACGGUACUGACGCUGAGACGCGAAAGCGUGGGGAGCGAACAGGAUUAGAUACCCUGGUAGUCCACGCCGUAAACGAUGGGUGCUAGGUGUGGGAGGUGUCGACUCCUUCCGUGCCGAAGCUAACGCAUUAAGCACCCCGCCUGGGGAGUACGGCCGCAAGGCUA
This 377-nucleotide ribosomal RNA is filed under the name uncultured bacterium. RNAcentral's name for it is "bacterial SSU rRNA". It matches the Rfam family "Bacterial small subunit ribosomal RNA", at positions 521 to 896 of the family's 1533-position model. The record is from RNAcentral.